AGUAGUUGAUUAGUGGCUCAGAACGACGCUGGCGGCGCGUUUAAGCAUGCAAGUCGAGCGGCAAGGGCCUUCGGGCCCCUAGAGCGGCGGACGGGUGAGUAACACGUGGACAAUCUGCCCCCCGGCCCGGGAUAGCCCAGGGAAACCUGGAUUAAUACCGGAUGAGACGGGACCCGCGAUGGCGGGAUCCGGGAAAGGCGCUGCGGCGCCGCCGGGGGAUGAGUCUGCGUCCCAUUAGCUAGACGGCGGGGUAACGGCCCACCGUGGCGACGAUGGGUAGCCGGCCUGAGAGGGUGGACGGCCACAUUGGAACUGAGACACGGUCCAGACUCCUACGGGAGGCAGCAGCUAAGAAUCUUCCGCAAUGGGCGAAAGCCUGACGGAAGCGACGCCGCGUGAACGAAGAAGGCCGUGAGGUUGUAAAGUUCUUUUCGGGAGGGGGAACAACCGUGGCAGGGAAUGGCCGCGGGAUGACGUGAAUCCCGGAAUAAGCCCCGGCUAACUACGUGCCAGCCGCCGC
RNAcentral lists this ribosomal RNA (520 nucleotides) under uncultured bacterium. Its description in RNAcentral is "bacterial SSU rRNA". It matches the Rfam family "Bacterial small subunit ribosomal RNA", at positions 1 to 518 of the family's 1533-position model. The record is from RNAcentral.